CUUUUAAUUUCUGUGACACCGUCCGCAUCAAUAUUUCAACACAUGGAAAAUGGACGACAUUUCUACUUUCUGAGGAAAUCGUGACAUACCACUGUCAAGUACGUUUGAUUCAUUCAUAAACUGUGAUAAAUUAAUUUGUUUAACUCCGAUAUUUUUGGAUAAGUGAUUUAUAAAUACAUACGAACUGUAAGUUAUUUAUUUCCGAGAAAUGAACUGUAAAUUCUACUUUCGUUUUUGACUUGAUUAAUAAUCUUGUAUUUAACUUUCAUAUUUAAUUCGUACACAUUGUAAAAUAUUGUAUUUUUAUUUCUUUCAGUUUACCAAUCUACUGACUAUUAUGUAACCCUUUCUGGUGGAAGUUAUAAUUACAAUUUCAAACAAGUUGUGUUCGUUAUAUCUUCAUCGAGAUUGCGAUUGCAGUCACCUGGUUAAGCUAGUUGAGUCCGGCUCAGCAUAGUAAAUUGACAACAACUUGUCUACACAUCUCCUGAACAGGAAAUACAACGGAGCAUCGUUCGUAGCUGUUACCUUGACACUACGCAACACAGCUUGUGCGUCCUAGGCAGCAAACCAACAAAGUUGAACAAA
This 588-nucleotide long non-coding RNA is filed under the name Mytilus galloprovincialis (Mediterranean mussel). The record is from RNAcentral. Lineage: Eukaryota; Metazoa; Mollusca; Bivalvia; Mytilida; Mytilidae.